AUUGAACGCUGGCGGCAUGCCUAACACAUGCAAGUCGAACGGUAGCAGGGGCUUCGGCCCGCUGACGAGUGGCGGACGGGUGAGUAACGCGUAGGAAUCUUCCCAGUAGCGGGGGAUAGCUCGGCGAAAGCCGGAUUAAUACCGCAUACGCCCUACGGGGAAAGGACAGGGAGUCGCAAGACCUUGCACUAUUGGAUGAGCCUACGUCUGAUUAGCUAGUUGGUAGGGUAAAAGACCUACCAAGGACGACGAUCAGUAGCUGGUCUGAGAGGACGGAUCAGCCACACUGGGACUGAGACACGGCCCAGACUCCUACGGGAGG
This 322-nucleotide ribosomal RNA is filed under the name uncultured bacterium. RNAcentral's name for it is "bacterial SSU rRNA". It matches the Rfam family "Bacterial small subunit ribosomal RNA", at positions 30 to 348 of the family's 1533-position model. The record is from RNAcentral.